This 468-nucleotide ribosomal RNA is filed under the name uncultured bacterium. RNAcentral describes it as "partial 16S ribosomal RNA". It matches the Rfam family "Bacterial small subunit ribosomal RNA", at positions 29 to 507 of the family's 1533-position model. The record is from RNAcentral.
AACGAACGCUGGCGGCGCGCCUAACACAUGCAAGUCGAACGGAGUCAUGAGGAGCUUUCUUGUCUUGACUUAUUGGCGAACGGGUGAUUAACGUGGGAUUAACCUGCCCUGGAGUGGGGGACAAUAAUUGGAAACGACUUCUAAUACCGCAUAAGUCCACGGAUCCGCAUGGGUCUGCGUUGAAAGGAUUUAUUCGCUUGGGGAUGGACUCGCGUCGAAUUAGCUAGUUGGUGAGGUAACGGCCCACCAAGGCGACGAUGGGUAGCCGGACUGAGAGGAUGAACGGCCACACUGGGACUGAGACACGGCCCAGACUCCUACGGGAGGCAGCAGUGGGGGAUAUUGCACAAUGGGCGAAACCCUGAUGCAGCGACGCCGCGUGGAGGAAGAAGGUUUUAGGAUUGUAAACUCCUGUUGUCAGGGACGAUAAUGACGGUACCUAAAAAGAAAGCACCGGCUAACUCCGUG